GUAUGAAGAGGGGAAGGGAGAGGUGUGGGGGAAGCUCUGCUUCAGCUGUGGGGCCACAGAAGGCAGGACUCAGGGAUGGUCUCCACCAUGGCCUGGUGCCCUCUCCUGCUCACCCUCCUUGCUCACUGCACAGGAUCGUGGGCCCAGUCUGUGCUGACUCAGCCUCCCUCAGUGUCUGGGAACCCAGGACAGAAGGUCACCAUCUCCUGCACUGGAAGCAGCUCCAACAUUGGAGCUGGUGAAUAUGUGUCCUGGUACCAACAGCUCCCAGGAAAUGUCCCCAAACUCCUUGUCUAUGAAAAUAGCAAACGACCCUCAGGUGUCUCCGACCGAUUGUCUGGCUCCAAAUCUGGCAGCUCAGCCACCCUGACCAUCACUGGGCUUCAGGCUGAGGACGAGGCCGAUUAUUACUGCUCAGCAUGGGACAAGAGUCUCAGUGGUCACACAGUGCUGCAGGGCCCUGGGGGAGCGAGACAAAAACCUGCUGUCCCUCUUGAAAUGGGGCCUCCAUGGGCAAAUGCUGCGCCUCUGAUAAGCCAGCCGAUUCUUGUGUUUGGCCAUUACUGGGGCCUGAGACCCACCUCGGUGACCUUGUUUGGAAAACCUGUCCUCACCCUUUAACUUCUGUCCCUGCACUUGUCCUUGGCAGCAGCACUUGAUGUGGUUUUCUCAAAUUGAGCAGGAAUUCCU
Non-coding RNA from Artibeus jamaicensis (Jamaican fruit-eating bat), 690 nucleotides. NCBI's taxonomy places the organism in Eukaryota, Metazoa, Chordata, Mammalia, Chiroptera, Phyllostomidae. The record is from the annotation of a RefSeq genome assembly.